UACAGAGGGUGCGAGCGUUGUUCGGAAUUAUUGGGCGUAAAGGGCGCGUAGGCGGUGCCACAAGUCACUUGUGAAAUCCCCGGGCUUAACUCGGGGCCUGCAGGCGAAACUGUGGUGCUGGAGUAUGGGAGAGGUGCGUGGAAUUCCCGGUGUAGCGGUGAAAUGCGUAGAUAUCUGGAGGAACACCGGUGGCGAAGGCGGCAUCCUGGACCGGCAUUGACGCUGAUGAGCGAAAGCCAGGGGAGCAAACGGG
This 253-nucleotide ribosomal RNA is filed under the name uncultured bacterium. RNAcentral describes it as "partial 16S ribosomal RNA". It matches the Rfam family "Bacterial small subunit ribosomal RNA", at positions 524 to 776 of the family's 1533-position model. The record is from RNAcentral.